GAGUUUGAUCGUGGCUCAGAUUGAACGCUGGCGGCAUGCCUUACACAUGCAAGUCGAACGGCAGCACGGGAGCUUGCUCCUGGUGGCGAGUGGCGAACGGGUGAGUAAUGCAUCGGAACGUAUCCUGGAGUGGGGGAUAACGUAGCGAAAGUUACGCUAAUACCGCAUAUUCUGUGAGCAGGAAAGCGGGGGACCUUCGGGCCUCGCGCUCUUGGAUCGGCCGAUGUCGGAUUAGCUAGUUGGUGAGGUAAGGGCUCACCAAGGCGACGAUCCGUAGCAGGUCUGAGAGGAUGAUCUGCCACACUGGAACUGAGACACGGUCCAGACUCCUACGGGAGGCAGCAGUGGGGAAUUUUGGACAAUGGGGGCAACCCUGGUCCAGCCAUGCCGCGUGAGUGAAGAAGGCC
Molecule: ribosomal RNA, 407 nt
Filed under: bacterium enrichment culture clone ALO1_GLFRUDD03HGDP7
Lineage: Bacteria
Description: bacterial SSU rRNA
Rfam family: Bacterial small subunit ribosomal RNA
Source: RNAcentral